Molecule: ribosomal RNA, 427 nt
Filed under: uncultured bacterium
Lineage: Bacteria
Description: partial 16S ribosomal RNA
Rfam family: Bacterial small subunit ribosomal RNA
Source: RNAcentral
GUGGGGAAUUUUGGACAAUGGGGGAAACCCUGAUCCAGCGACGCCGCGUGAAGGAUGAAGGCCUUCGGGUUGUAAACUUCUUUUGGAGGGGACGAAUAAAUUGACGGUACCCUCAGAAAAAGCCACGGCUAACUACGUGCCAGCAGCCGCGGUAAUACGUAGGUGGCGAGCGUUACUCGGAAUUACUAGGCGUAAAGCGUAUGUAGGCGGUUGUAUAAGUCUAUGGUGAAAUUUCCUGGCUCAACUGGGAAGGGACAUAGAUACUGUAUGGCUUGAGUGUUGGAGGGGGAGACGGAAUUCCUGGUGUAGCGGUGAAAUGCGUAGAUAUCAGGAGGAACACCGAUGGCGAAAGCAGUCUCCUGGCCAAAUACUGACGCUGAGGUACGAAAGCUAGGGUAGCAAACGGGAUUAGAUACCCGGGUAGUCC